Molecule: long non-coding RNA, 1649 nt
Organism: Felis catus (domestic cat)
Lineage: Eukaryota; Metazoa; Chordata; Mammalia; Carnivora; Felidae
Exons: 4
Source: RefSeq, a predicted model, not a curated record
AGCUAAAGAAAGAGCUGGCUUGAAAUGGGAUUGUGCAGACCCAGCUUUGGGCCCCGAGGACGCUGGAUUGGGGAUUGUUAUGCUAAUCGCCUGAGAUCAGCAGUUCCCGUGCCCUUCAGAUGGCAGUAGCCCCAAACUGGAAACGGCUGAGACAUCCAUCAAUGAGAGAGCACGGGGCCAUCAAACCGGGGUGCAACCAAAGAAUGGAAAACUCCUCAGCCAGCAAUGAAAGGAAACAAGCUACUCAUCCAAGCCACACCACAACAUGGACCAAUGUCACAACCUCGAUGUGGAGUAAAAGAAGCCAGACUCCAGGGAGUACAUACUUAUGCCUCCAUGUAUAUGAAGUUCAAGAACAACUAAAACUAAUCCAUGGUGAGGGAAGUCAGAAUAGUGGCUGCCAACAGGGGACGGUCUUGACAGGAAGCAAAUAGAGGGAACCUCCUCGGGUGAUGGGAAUUCAUUAUAUCCUGAUCUGGCUGCAGUCACAUGGGUGUCUGUAUAGGGAAAAAUGCACCCGGAGGUACCCUUAAUAUUUGUUCAUAUUAAUGUAUGUCACCUAUGCAUCCGUUAAAUCAUGGAAGUUAAAAAAAAAUUAAUUCAUUUAAGGGAAAAUACUAACUAGCAGUUUAGGGGUUCCGAUGAUAUGGCCAAAAAGCAAAAGCAAACAAGACAAACCCCAGCGACUUAAGGUGGGGGACGUAUCCGCGUUAAGUGCUGGGCAGUGCGGUUUUACUCGGUUUCCCCCUCUCAUAGACGCCGGAUAACAUACAGGACGGACGCCUAGUGAAACCUGAAUUUCAGACGAAUAAACAAAUACUUUUUUCUAGUAUAAGUAUGACCCAUGCGAUAUUUGGGACGUACUUAGGCUAGGACGUUUAUUUGUUUGUUUGUUUGUUUGUUUAGCUUUGACUCGUUGUUUAUCAGAAAUGCGAAUUUAAUCGGGCGUCCUGUGUUUUUAUUUGCCAAAUCUGGCAAGCCUGCCCUCUCGGGGACCCCGCCCCGUCUCGCAGCCCGGUGCCCACCGCAGGCGGGAGCGCCCAGCGCGGUGCAGUCACGCCGGGCGCAGCCUGGCAACGCGGCCACAAAGGGAGCCCGGGAGGCGGAAUCUUUCCACAUGCCUGAUCAAUGGGGGCGCGGAGACGGCGGUGCAAACAGGCCUGAGACAGCCGCACAAAGAGGAGGCCCCUCGGCCGCUCCCGCCUUCCAUUGAUCCGGGCCCUUUGUGGCUCGGACAACGGGGGCGCGGGAGGCGCCUCGCAGGGACUUGGCCGUUCUCGUUAGGGGGAGAAAGCCCAGGAGGACCCCCGCCCCGCCAGCCCACCCCACCGGUUCACCCUCCUGCGGGCUCCAGUUCCCUACUCUUCAGGAUAGGAACAGCUAUCAAUUCUUGGACAUUUGCUGCGCACAGUGUCAGGAGAAGAAAGCAAGCCUGGAGCUUCUGAGGGCCAUCUUGUCACCCUGGGGAGGAGCAUGUGUGCCUGAGAACAAAGCCACAGAAGAAGGCAGAGCCAAGACAUGGCAAGGAUGCCAACUGAACUCUCGGAAUGCCUAGAUCCAGUUGUGAGCCACUAAUAAUAAUUUUUGUUUAUUUGCAUUUGUUCGAAUUCUCUAUUGCUUACAACCAAAGUUUUGACUAAAUACGCCAA